Long non-coding RNA from Equus quagga, 1795 nucleotides. RefSeq lists it as uncharacterized. NCBI's taxonomy places the organism in Eukaryota, Metazoa, Chordata, Mammalia, Perissodactyla, Equidae. The transcript has 3 exons. The record is from RefSeq and is a predicted model, not a curated record.
GUUGCCUCCUAUGCAUCUCCUUUUAAAUGGACAUAUUCUUGGAAAACUGUAGAACUAAAAACCCUUUAUAGCUUAUAACAGGAUUCCAGAAAGGAAAAAAAGCUAAUAUUUUCACAAGAUGUACUUGGAGCGAAGCAUAUUCAUUUGUUCAUUCAUGCAACGAUAUUUAAUGAUCCUCUACCACCUGCCAGGUUCUCUCCUACACCACCUACACCACAGGGAUUCAGCCAUGAAAAACAACAACUAACACCCUACGCCCGUGGAGCUUUCAGCUAGUGGGAGAGCUAGUCAACUCUUAACGACAAUGUGUGACAACAUCCCAGAAACAUGACACAGUGGGUAAAGGUGACCUGGAGUGAGGACAAACCAGCAUCUACAUUCUGACUCUGACAUCCAGCCUGUUGUACCUUGGACAGGCAAGAUAACCUCUCUGAUCCUCAGUUUCUACUGGUGUAAAAUGGUGAAUAUAAUACCAACUUUGAAAGACUGUAAUGAGGAGUAAAGAAAAUAAUGUAGAAAAUUAUCUGGCACAGUACCUUGGACAUAACGCUGAUGAUUUGUUUAUGAACAGAACUGACACAUGACACCAUCUCUCAGAGGUUACAUUCAAGAAGAGGAGACAGAAAAUAAACAAAAAAGCCCUACUGGUUCAGACAUGGGGUGCAAUAGGAAGAGGGGACUGAAGACAGUCCCAGCAACUGUGAAUAUGGCUGUCAUUUACUGAGAGAGGAAGAAAGUAAAUGCACUGAGACGUUAUUGAUCAAGUAAUUUACACAAAAUGGACAUAUGAAGGAAAAGGGUCAUUGGGAGAGACACUUGGCUGAAUACACUGAAAAACCGAUUCUCCAUUUCUCUCCAAGUCAUGAAAAAAGAAAAACUUUGUCUUUAUUACAAAAAUUUCACUCUAAUGAGUUAAGCACUAUAUGUCAGAAGAAAAAAAUUUGGAUACUAAAGGAUUUCCAGAUUCUGUAGUUCUUUGCAGCUUCAGCUUUGAAUUUCUCAACUUGCCUGCGGUGGUGCUGAAAGAAUUAGGUGGGGAAGCUUCUGACAGGCAUUUUACAGAUCCCUUAGUCAAAUUCGUUUCACUCUCUGCUUAAAUUUUCGACAAGUGCUCCAAGCUUCUCUGAUUCUAAUCAUUGUCUGACUUCGAUGAUGCAGAUUAAUCAAUCUCCCUCUUGCUUCACAGGCAAGAGAAUACUUCAGUUUCAGAAUUCUGAGGUCAUCUCCAAAUGUUUUAAUAUCACACACACCUCGUCCUUUUCUUUGUCAGUUAUUAGUAGGUUCAUAGGACAUUAUUAAAGGGCAGCCUAGGUUAUUGUGGCUUGUAAAGCAUCAAACAAUCAAAUAAUUAUUACGUCCUCACACACCUGUGCUCCUUAAAGUCAAACAGAGACAAUUUUCAAUAUCAUUUCACAUGACAACCAAAGUCAUCGGAUGGUCUCUACAAUUUCAUCUCUACCAUCUUCUCCCUUCUUGCCCUGAAAUGCCCUUACCCCUCCUCAUCUGGUCUAUUGCGACCGUUCUUUCUAGUGUUCCUCUUCUUUCACAGCACAUUUUAGGGGAUCCCCUCACCUAAUGGCCCUCUCUGAUCCCUUUUCCCCGACUGGGUUAGGUGCUGCCAUCUCCACAGGUGCUCUCCUUGCGCUUACCACUCUCAAAGCUACAUCGAACUUGCUUACUUAUCUGCCUCAAUUAUUGAUCACCAACGUCCAAGGCACUGUGCUAGGGCCUGGGGAUACAGCAGUAAAGAAAAUAGUCCCUAUCUGAAAAUCUCCUGAGGAAACAGAACUGUUGU